UUCGCAAUGCCCGAAAGGGUGACGAAGCGACGCCGCGUGAGCGAAGAAGGCCCUAGGGUUGUAAACCGCUGUCGGGAGUUAAGAAGUGCAAGGGUGUUAAUAGCAUCUUUGCUUGACAAAGGCCCUAAAGGAAGCCACGGCUAACUCUGUGCCAGCAGCCGCGGUAAUACAGAGGUGGCAAGCGUUGUUCGGUAUUAUUGGGCGUAAAGAGCACGUAGGUGGUUUUGUAAGUCAGAUGUGAAAGCCUUCUGUUCAAAGGAAGAACGGCAUCUGAAACUGCAGAUCUUGAGUGUAGGAGGGGAGAGUGGAACUUCUGGUGGAGCGGUGGAAUGCGUAGAUAUCAGAAGGAACGCCGGCGGCGAAAGCGACUCUCUGGCCCGAAACUGACGCUGAGUGUGCGAAAGCUAGGGGAGCAAACGGGAUUAGAUACCCCGGUAGUCCUAGCCGUAAACGAUGGGCACUAAGUAGAGGGGUUUU
Molecule: ribosomal RNA, 477 nt
Filed under: Candidatus Scalindua wagneri
Lineage: Bacteria; Pseudomonadati; Planctomycetota; Candidatus Brocadiia; Candidatus Brocadiales; Candidatus Scalinduaceae
Also listed under: 1 other name
Description: bacterial SSU rRNA
Rfam family: Bacterial small subunit ribosomal RNA
Source: RNAcentral